Molecule: ribosomal RNA, 253 nt
Filed under: uncultured bacterium
Lineage: Bacteria
Description: partial 16S ribosomal RNA
Rfam family: Bacterial small subunit ribosomal RNA
Source: RNAcentral
UACGUAGGGUGCAAGCGUUGUCCGGAAUUAUUGGGCGUAAAGAGCUCGUAGGCGGUUUGUUGCGUCGGCUGUGAAAUCCCGAGGCUCAACCUCGGGUCUGCAGUCGAUACGAGCAAACUAGAGUGUUGCAGGGGAGACUGGAAUUCCUGGUGUAGCGGUGAAAUGCGCAGAUAUCGGGAGGAACACCGGUGGCGAAGGCGGUUCUCUGGGCCUGUACUGACGCUGAGGAGCGAAAGCGUGGGGAGCGAACAGG